This 492-nucleotide ribosomal RNA is filed under the name uncultured bacterium. RNAcentral's name for it is "partial 16S ribosomal RNA". It matches the Rfam family "Bacterial small subunit ribosomal RNA", at positions 29 to 507 of the family's 1533-position model. The record is from RNAcentral.
AGUGAACGCUGGCGGUAGGCCUAACACAUGCAAGUCGAACGGUAGCACAGUAAGAGCUUGCUCUUACGGGUGGCGAGUGGCGGACGGGUGAGGAAUACAUCGGAAUCUACUUUUUCGUGGGGGAUAACGUAGGGAAACUUACGCUAAUACCGCAUACGACCUACGGGUGAAAGCAGGGGAUCUUCGGACCUUGCGCGAUUGAAUGAGCCGAUGUCGGAUUGGCUAGUUGGCGGGGUAAAGGCCCACCAAGGCGACGAUCCGUAGCUGGUCUGAGAGGAUGAUCAGCCACACUGGAACUGAAACACGGUCCAGACGCCUACGGGAGGCAGCAGUGGGGAAUAUUGGACAAUGGGCGCAAGCCUGAUCCAGCCAUACCGCGUGGGUGAAGAAGGCCUUCGGGUUGUAAAGCCCUUUUGUUGGGAAAGAAAAGCAGCAGGUUAAUACCCCGCUGUUCUGACGGUACCCAAAGAAUAAGCACCGGCUAACUUCGUG